UUAAAGAGCUGUUGCUGUUAUACAGAAUGGCCUGGUGGUGGUGACGGAGCUCAAAAAAACUUCACUUUAACACUUAACACUUGAGUCUUGAGCAGCACUGGGGAAUAUGGGUGGAAAUGCAAUACUGGUCUUGGCGUUUUGGUAACAUGAACUACAAAUCCAAACAACAAUAACACCAGUAUUAUUGUAAAAAGCCGUUACAGCACGCAAGGGGUGAAAGCACCAUGCAGCUCAAUAUCACUACAAACUUCAUCUUUUCAAACUUUAUCGUUUCAAGACACAUCUCCAGUACACGACAGACCAGAGGGAUGAAAAUGGGAAUUCUUGCUAUAACAGAGAAUGAAGUUGCCCUUAGCGCACUGCCUACCUUUACAAACUUUGCUGUUGUUUUGGAGGAGGCAAUUGUUCUGAAAGACAUUUCAGACAUAAAAUCUGCUGUUUCUUGCCUGUUUGGUCUUAUCUUCGCCUCGGAUUGUGAAUACCCAAAAGAACUCAAAUAUAGUUUUGAGGUAAUUGAGAAGGUGUUUAUGGAAAUUGGCAGUCUGUCCCUGAAACUGAACGUGCUCUGAAUGUUGAAAUCUUGAGUGAGCAUCUUUGAAGUUAAACAGAUAUUAAGAACUUAAUGUUAAAAUAUGAAACACUCGAAGGGAUUGUUGAACUGAACUGUUGAACUAUGUUUGGAAUGUUUUAAGACUGUUUGAUGUUGUUAUUAUGUUUGAUAUUUUAUGUUUGGCGUUAUUGAAAUAGGCCCUUUCUGUUUUGCAAGGGUACAGUCCCUGAAAUCUAAACUCUGGCUGACAUAGUUGACAUUUGGUUUGAGCAUCUUUUGAAUUAAACAUAUAUUAGCAUAUAAAAGGAACAUUCAACUUAUUUGGGAAAUAUGCUAAUUUUCCAACUCCCCAAGAGUUAAUAAAUUGAGUUUCACCGUUUUGGAAUGUA
Triplophysa dalaica is the source of this 939-nucleotide long non-coding RNA. RefSeq lists it as uncharacterized. The record is from RefSeq and is a predicted model, not a curated record. The transcript is spliced from 3 exons. Lineage: Eukaryota; Metazoa; Chordata; Actinopteri; Cypriniformes; Nemacheilidae.